Picea glauca (white spruce) is the source of this 122-nucleotide non-coding RNA. Lineage: Eukaryota; Viridiplantae; Streptophyta; Pinopsida; Pinales; Pinaceae. The record is from Rfam.
AUGUGAUAUAAUUCCUAUAAUGUUAAUGUACCAAAUCUCAUUAGAAAUAUGUAGUUAAGCGCGCUUGGGAUAGAGUAGUACUAGGAUGAGUGACCUCUCGAGAAGUCCUAGUGUUUUACAUG